Molecule: signal recognition particle RNA, 297 nt
Filed under: Saimiri boliviensis boliviensis (Bolivian squirrel monkey)
Lineage: Eukaryota; Metazoa; Chordata; Mammalia; Primates; Cebidae
Description: Metazoan signal recognition particle RNA (ENSSBOG00000007086.1)
Rfam family: Metazoan signal recognition particle RNA
About the family: The signal recognition particle (SRP) is a universally conserved ribonucleoprotein. It is involved in the co-translational targeting of proteins to membranes. The eukaryotic SRP consists of a 300-nucleotide 7S RNA and six proteins: SRPs 72, 68, 54, 19, 14, and 9.
Source: RNAcentral
GACGGGUGCGGUGGUGCAUGCCUGUAGUCCCAGCUACUCGGGAGGCUGAGGUGGGAGGAUCGCUUGAGCCCAGGAGUUCUGGGCUGCAGUGCGCUAUGCUGAUCGGGUGUCCGCACUAAGUUCGGCAUCAAUAUGGUGACCUCCGGGGAGCGGGGGACCACCAGGUUGCCUAAGGAGAGGUGAACCGGCACAGGUCGGAAACGGAGCAGGUCAAAACAGGUUCAUCAAUGACAGAGGACACCAGAAAGUUUUCAUUCAGGUUCUCUUUAUUUCUGAUGUUUCUUUGUAACCUUCCUU